GGGAGGCUGGCGCAAACGCAGCGGGUGGCUGGGGUAGGGGCUCAUUGGGAGCCCACGGAGCGCGGCGGCGGCUCGGGGGCCGAGUUCCCUACAACAAGGAUGGCGGUGACGGGCGCAGGGAGCGGGGCCCGGCUCUCCUUGCCUCGAGGCUCCUCUGAUUCCACUCGCGUGGCUGCGCGGCCCUGGCAGCGGCCUUCGUCCCGGGGGUGGGAGCUACACAGGGUUCCGCCCCGUCCUGGCGAGGACGCCUGAGGGGGCUCUGUGGUAAGGCUCUGUCGGGCAGGCCGGGCUUCCGGGAGGACCUGGUCUGGAUCGGUCACCGCUGGGUGCCUGAGCUCCGCAUGGAGCCUGCAGCCUUUGUUUAACUUAUAAAGAAAUGGGGGCUCCGAGCAGUCAAGAAGAACAUGCCCCAAGUUAUUCGUCAGUGAGGCGGAAAUUGUGGUGUACUUGUUCCAGACCAACUAUGAAGAUAGGAUGCCCAUCCAGAAGAACGGGAAGCAUUUUCUUCCUCACCUUUGGAAAGUAAAACAAAAAAAAAAAGAAAAAUAAAAGAAAAAA
RNAcentral lists this long non-coding RNA (558 nucleotides) under Homo sapiens (human). RNAcentral describes it as "non-protein coding GCC2-AS1:1". Lineage: Eukaryota; Metazoa; Chordata; Mammalia; Primates; Hominidae. The record is from RNAcentral.